GAUGAACGCUGGCGGCGUGCCUAAUACAUGCAAGUCGAGCGAACGGACGAGAAGCUUGCUUCUCUGAUGUUAGCGGCGGACGGGUGAGUAACACGUGGAUAACCUACCUAUAAGACUGGGAUAACUUCGGGAAACCGUAGCUAAUACCGGAUAAUAUUUUGAACCGCAUGGUUCAAAAGUGAAAGACGGUCUUGCUGUAACUUAUAGAUGGAUCCGCGCUGCAUUAGAUAGUUGGUAAGGUAACGGCUUACCAAGGCAACGAUGCAUAGCCGACCUGAGAGGGUGAUCGGCCACACUGGAACUGAGACACGGUCCAGACUCCUACGGGAGGCAGCAGUAGGGAAUCUUCCGCAAUGGGCGAAAGCCUGACGGAGCAACGCCGCGUGAGUGAUGAAGGUCUUCGGAUCGUAAAACUCUGUUAUUAGGGAAGAACAUAUGUGUAAGUAACUGUGCACAUCUUGACGGUACCUAAUCAGAAAGCCACGGCUAACUACGUG
RNAcentral lists this ribosomal RNA (497 nucleotides) under uncultured bacterium. RNAcentral describes it as "partial 16S ribosomal RNA". It matches the Rfam family "Bacterial small subunit ribosomal RNA", at positions 28 to 507 of the family's 1533-position model. The record is from RNAcentral.